This is a long non-coding RNA of Humulus lupulus (European hop), 307 nucleotides long. RefSeq lists it as uncharacterized. Lineage: Eukaryota; Viridiplantae; Streptophyta; Magnoliopsida; Rosales; Cannabaceae. The transcript is spliced from 3 exons. The record is from RefSeq and is a predicted model, not a curated record.
UUGAUUUUUUUGCUUUUAGACAUUAUUGGUGUUUUUGAGAGUUAUAUUCUUAUUUAUGUAUAGAGUACUCUCAAUCUCUCUGUCGUUGCACCCUCACCUCACCCUCACUCUCGGUCUGCUCUCCGAUCUCUCCCCGAUCUCUCAGACGCCGAAGCCCAGAAAUUGAAGGAGUAUCUCUUGGAAAUUCGGUCACUGGUAUAAUAUAAUUUUGUGGCAUCAAGAUGUCAGUAGAUGUGGCUAGAGCUCACGGUGGAGACGCUGGUGGUGAUCCUCCACCGGAUCCUACUAGGAUCCCGACUACAUGUGA